Molecule: ribosomal RNA, 701 nt
Filed under: uncultured bacterium
Lineage: Bacteria
Description: bacterial SSU rRNA
Rfam family: Bacterial small subunit ribosomal RNA
Source: RNAcentral
AGUCGAGCGGGGUUGUUUUUCACACCUAGGGCUUCACCGAAAAGUGGAAACACAGGAACGGUGAAGAAAUAGGUGUGGAAAACAAUCUAGUGGCGGACGGGUGAGUAACACGUGAGCAACCUGCCUUUCAGAGGGGGAUAACGUUUGGAAACGAACGCUAAUACCGCAUAACAUGCAGAAAUGGCAUCAUUUUUGUAUCAAAGGAGUAAUCCGCUGAAAGAUGGGCUCGCGCCCGAUUAGAUAGUUGGUGAGGUAAUGGCCCACCAAGUCUGCGAUCGGUAGCCGGACUGAGAGGUUGAACGGCCACAUUGGGACUGAGACACGGCCCAGACUCCUACGGGAGGCAGCAGUGGGGAAUAUUGCACAAUGGGGGAAACCCUGAUGCAGCGAUGCCGCGUGAGUGAAGACGGUCUUCGGAUUGUAAAGCUCUGUUGACAGGGACGAUAAUGACGGUACCUGUUUAGAAAGCCACGGCUAACUACGUGCCAGCAGCCGCGGUAAUACGUAGGUGGCGAGCGUUGUCCGGAAUUACUGGGUGUAAAGGGAGCGCAGGCGGGGAGCCAAGUUGGAUGUGAAAUACCGCAGCUUAACUGCGGGGCUGCAUCCAAAACUGGUUUUCUUGAGUGAAGUAGAGGUAGGCGGAAUUCCUAGUGUAGCGGUGAAAUGCGUAGAUAUUAGGAGGAACACCAGUGGCGAAGGCG